This 253-nucleotide ribosomal RNA is filed under the name uncultured bacterium. RNAcentral's name for it is "partial 16S ribosomal RNA". It matches the Rfam family "Bacterial small subunit ribosomal RNA", at positions 524 to 776 of the family's 1533-position model. The record is from RNAcentral.
UACAGAGACUGCAAGCGUUAUUCGGAUUCACUGGGCGUAAAGGGUGCGCAGGCGGCCGGGUGUGUCAGAUGUGAAAUCCCGAGGCUCAACCUCGGAACUGCGUCUGAAACUACUCGGCUAGAGUAUUGGAGAGGGUAACGGAAUUCACGGUGUAGCAGUGAAAUGCGUAGAUAUCGUGAGGAACACCAGAGGCGAAGGCGGUUACCUGGACAGUUACUGACACUGAGGCACGAAGGCCAGGGGAGCAAACAGG